Molecule: long non-coding RNA, 263 nt
Filed under: Elaeis guineensis (African oil palm)
Lineage: Eukaryota; Viridiplantae; Streptophyta; Magnoliopsida; Arecales; Arecaceae
Description: long non-coding RNA (EGUI_LNC049275)
Source: RNAcentral
UCACCCUACUUCUUGCUGGCUGUGGCACAAAUCUCUAUUUUAUCCUCUUCUGUUCUGGGUUGGUAAAAGCAAAAGAAUCCAUGCCUGACUCUACUGAUGCUCUAAAACUCUGAUUUGGCUGCCCAAAAAUAUUAACCUUCUUUGAUGGCCAUUUUCUCCCUACACCCAUGAAAAAACUCUGUGCACUUCUCUUGCCCCUUUCCUGCCUACCGCUAUAGAAUUCUUUCUCAAUCUCUUCUGCCUUGAUGGCUCCUAUAAUCAAU